RNAcentral lists this long non-coding RNA (1202 nucleotides) under Homo sapiens (human). RNAcentral's name for it is "HSALNT0295425". The record is from RNAcentral. Lineage: Eukaryota; Metazoa; Chordata; Mammalia; Primates; Hominidae.
CAACCCGCUGCCCUCUGGUGUCCUGCUGUGGGAGCUUUGUUCUUUCACUCUCGUAAUAAGUCUUGCUGCUGCUCACUCUUUGGGUCCGCACUGUCUCUGUGAGCUGUAACACUCACCGCGAGGUUCUGUGCCUUCGUUCUUUAAGUCAGGGAGACCACGAACCCACCGGGAGGAACAAACAACUGUGAUGCGCCAUCUUUAAGAGCUGUAACAUUCACCGCCGGGGUCUGCGGCUUCAUUCCUGGAGUGAGUGAGACCACGAACCCACCAGAAGGAAGAAACUCUGGACCCAUCUGAACAGCUGAAGGAACAAACUCCGGACACACCAUCUUUAAGAACUGUAACACUCACCGGGAGUCUCCGUGGCUUCAUUCUUGAAGACAGCGAGACCAAGAACCCACCAGAAGGAAUGAAUUCCGCACACAGCAACAGCACAAAGUUAAACCAGGAAGUCCCUCUGCCUUGCUAGGGAUCCAGGUUUGCCUUCCUGUUGAGGUAUCCCAUUUCAUUACAGUUGACCUAAGUUUGAACAAACACUGCCACCUGAUGCAUGAAAGCUCUACUGUGACCUACGUUAAAAGGAGCUGACACUCCCUCAGGCUACCUUAGUCAGUGGGGGCUUACUGCAGCAUACCUGUGGCGAUGAGAGAGAGAGGCACAUCACAGGAGCAUCUGGCACCAGUGGCAUCCUGAAUUUAAGAUGAAACAAUAGAGAAAGAACCAAGAAGUUACAUACAUUCAUCAGAAUUGCUGGAGAGUCCUGACCUCUGGCCAUCGAUCAAAGGGAAGCGUUCACUACUGAAGGUCUUUUUGCCUGAUGCAGAAUAUUGCCUUGUUUCAACUCUUUAAUGAGUGGACUAUUCUCUGAAGCUGGCCCUCAGUCUUACUCUGGGUUCAUCAACCAAGGUCAAGAUCUGUCCACAUGCACGUAACAGGAGCACUUUUCCGAGAAUUGUAAAGGAGCCACGGUGCAAAGCCUUCUGGACCUGGGUCUCAUGUGAAAACUCAGCAAUGAGCCUCCUGGCCUGAGAUGAGCCUGCGGAGCACCUUGUUACAGCACGCAUAUGAUGUAUAUAAAAAAUGAACACAUGUAUUCCAAUUACACUGAUUUGAUCUUUACAAACUAUAUGGAUGUAUUAAAUUGUCACAUGUACCCUCAAAAUAUGUACAUCUAUUAUGUAUCAAUAAAAUAAUUAACAUAU